This 241-nucleotide ribosomal RNA is filed under the name uncultured bacterium. RNAcentral describes it as "partial 16S ribosomal RNA". It matches the Rfam family "Bacterial small subunit ribosomal RNA", at positions 524 to 760 of the family's 1533-position model. The record is from RNAcentral.
GACGUAGGUGGCGAACGUUAUCCGGAAUUAUUGGGCGUAAAGGGUGCGUAGGCGGCAUGAUAAGUUAUUGGCGGCAAAUCGAGGCUCAACCUCGUGGAAACUGAUAAUACUGUCUUGCUUGAGUGCAGAAGAGGUUAACGGAACUCCAUGUGGAGCGGUAAAAUGUGUAGAUAUAUGGAAGAACAUCAAUAACGGCGAAGGCAGUUAACUAUUCUGUUACUGACGUUUGAGGCACGAAAGC